Molecule: ribosomal RNA, 387 nt
Filed under: uncultured bacterium
Lineage: Bacteria
Description: bacterial SSU rRNA
Rfam family: Bacterial small subunit ribosomal RNA
Source: RNAcentral
GAUGAACGCUAGCUACAGGCUUAACACAUGCAAGUCGAGGGGCAGCACAGUGUAGCAAUACACGGGUGGCGACCGGCGCACGGGUGCGUAACGCGUAUCCAACCUUCCCGAUACUCUUGGAUAGCCUUCCGAAAGGGAGAUUAAUACAAGAUGGUAUUCAAAUUCCGCAUGUUAUUUGAAUUAAAGAUUUAUCGGUAACGGAUGGGGAUGCGUGACAUUAGAUAGUAGGCGGGGUAACGGCCCACCUAGUCUACGAUGUCUAGGGGUUCUGAGAGGAAGGUCCCCCACACUGGAACUGAGACACGGUCCAGACUCCUACGGGAGGCAGCAGUGAGGAAUAUUGGUCAAUGGUCGGAAGACUGAACCAGCCAAGUAGCGUGAAGGAUG